UACGUAGGGAGCAAGCGUUGUCCGGAAUCAUUGGGCGUAAAGCGCGCGUAGGUGGCCCCAUAAGUCCGCUGUGAAAGUCAAAGGCUCAACCUUUGAAAGCCGGUGGAUACUGUGGGACUAGAGUACGGAAGAGGCGAGUGGAAUUCCUGGUGUAGCGGUGGAAUGCGCAGAUAUCAGGAGGAACACCAAUAGCGAAGGCAGCUCGCUGGGACGUUACUGACACUGAGGCGCGAAAGCCAGGGGAGCGAACGGG
This 253-nucleotide ribosomal RNA is filed under the name uncultured bacterium. RNAcentral's name for it is "partial 16S ribosomal RNA". It matches the Rfam family "Bacterial small subunit ribosomal RNA", at positions 524 to 776 of the family's 1533-position model. The record is from RNAcentral.